Molecule: ribosomal RNA, 253 nt
Filed under: uncultured bacterium
Lineage: Bacteria
Description: partial 16S ribosomal RNA
Rfam family: Bacterial small subunit ribosomal RNA
Source: RNAcentral
UACGUAGGGGGCAAGCGUUGUCCGGAAUUAUUGGGCGUAAAGAGCGUGUAGGCGGCCAGAUAAGUCCGCUGUGAAAUCUCGAGGCUCAACUUCGAGCUGUCGGUGGAAACUAUCUGGCUAGAGUCCGGAAGAGGAGAAUGGAAUUCCCGGUGUAGCGGUGAAAUGCGCAGAUAUCGGGAGGAACACCUAUGGCGAAGGCAGCUCGCUGGGACGUUACUGACGCUGAGACGCGAAAGCGUGGGGAGCAAACAGG